UACGGAGGGGGCUAGCGUUGUUCGGAAUUACUGGGCGUAAAGCGCACGUAGGCGGCUUUGCAAGUUAGAGGUGAAAGCCCGGGGCUCAACCCCGGAAUUGCCUUUAAAACUGCAUCGCUAGAAUUGUGGAGAGGUAAGUGGAAUUCCGAGUGUAGAGGUGAAAUUCGUAGAUAUUCGGAAGAACACCAGUGGCGAAGGCGGCUCACUGGCCCGAUACUGACGCUGAGGCACGAAAGCGUGGGGAGCAAACAGG
This 253-nucleotide ribosomal RNA is filed under the name uncultured bacterium. RNAcentral's name for it is "partial 16S ribosomal RNA". It matches the Rfam family "Bacterial small subunit ribosomal RNA", at positions 524 to 776 of the family's 1533-position model. The record is from RNAcentral.